GCUAUGUGUCGAAUAUCAUCAGCUAACCCGUAGGUUGUGUGCAGACUGUAUGUCGAUCCAAGUUGGUAUUUUAUCGACUUGGCUAAGUCCGUUGCCUUUAGUCGAUCACGUAUCGUCGAUCUUAAUCGGUGGAAAGCUGAUUGGGGCAAGACUUAUUGAUCCAAGUCAGAUUAAACCACAGCAAUUUGGUCGGCGAAGCGCAUUUCAUCAGUUGAGAGACGAGGAAGAAGACUAGUCAGCUAAGUGAUCAGGAUCUACCCCAACAUUAUCCAUUUCAUUUUUCAUGCAUGUUGUCUUGGACUCUGAUGGCCAUAUGCAACGUAGUGACACAUCUGA
Molecule: long non-coding RNA, 336 nt
Filed under: Elaeis guineensis (African oil palm)
Lineage: Eukaryota; Viridiplantae; Streptophyta; Magnoliopsida; Arecales; Arecaceae
Description: long non-coding RNA (EGUI_LNC043616)
Source: RNAcentral